UCGCACCUACCGAUUGAAUGGUCCGGUGAGGCCUCGGGAUUGUGGCCUGGUUCCUUCAUUGGGACUUGGCCACGAGAACUUGUCCAAACCUUAUCAUUUAGAGGAAGGUG
This 110-nucleotide ribosomal RNA is filed under the name uncultured eukaryote. Its description in RNAcentral is "partial small subunit ribosomal RNA". It matches the Rfam family "Eukaryotic small subunit ribosomal RNA", at positions 1676 to 1785 of the family's 1831-position model. The record is from RNAcentral.